This 516-nucleotide unclassified non-coding RNA is filed under the name Monascus ruber. RNAcentral describes it as "sequence contains 18S rRNA gene, ITS1, 5.8S rRNA gene, ITS2, 28S rRNA gene". The stretch from base 173 to 326 matches the Rfam family "5.8S ribosomal RNA". The record is from RNAcentral. Lineage: Eukaryota; Fungi; Ascomycota; Eurotiomycetes; Eurotiales; Aspergillaceae.
UGCGGAAGGAUCAUUACCGAGUGCGGGUCCCCUUCGUGGGACCAACCUCCCACCCGUGAUUAUUGUACCUCCUGUUGCUUCGGCGCGGCCCCCCGGGGCCCGCCGGAGACAUCUUCUCGAACGCUGUCUUUGAAAAGGAUUGCUGUCUGAGUAAACAUACCAAAUCGGUUAAAACUUUCAACAACGGAUCUCUUGGUUCCGGCAUCGAUGAAGAACGCAGCGAAAUGCGAUAAGUAAUGUGAAUUGCAGAAUUCAGUGAAUCAUCGAAUCUUUGAACGCACAUUGCGCCCCCUGGUAUUCCGGGGGGCAUGCCUGUCCGAGCGUCAUUACUGCCCCUCAAGCGCGGCUUGUGUGUUGGGCCGCCGUCCCCUGCGCCUCCGGGCAAGGGGGACGGGCCCGAAAGGCAGUGGCGGCGCCGCGUCCGGUCCUCGAGCGUAUGGGGCUUUGUCACCCGCUCAGUAGGUCGGGCCGGGGCCUUUGCCCUCUCCAACCUUUUUUUUCCUUAGGUUGACCUCG